UACAGGGGGGGCAAGCGUUGUUCGGAAUUACUGGGCGUAAAGGGUUCGUAGGUGGCCAACUAAGUCAGACGUGAAAUCCCUCAGCUUAACUGGGGAACUGCGUCUGAUACUGGUUGGCUUGAGUGCAGGAGAGGAAUGCGGAAUUCCAGGUGUAGCGGUGAAAUGCGUAGAUAUCUGGAGGAACACCGGUGGCGAAGGCGGCAUUCUGGACUGUAACUGACACUGAGGAACGAAAGCCAGGGGAGCAAACGGG
RNAcentral lists this ribosomal RNA (253 nucleotides) under uncultured bacterium. RNAcentral describes it as "partial 16S ribosomal RNA". It matches the Rfam family "Bacterial small subunit ribosomal RNA", at positions 524 to 776 of the family's 1533-position model. The record is from RNAcentral.